RNAcentral lists this ribosomal RNA (251 nucleotides) under Streptomyces doudnae. RNAcentral describes it as "Streptomyces sp. DSM 41981 partial 23S ribosomal RNA". It matches the Rfam family "Bacterial large subunit ribosomal RNA", at positions 288 to 510 of the family's 2925-position model. Lineage: Bacteria; Bacillati; Actinomycetota; Actinomycetes; Kitasatosporales; Streptomycetaceae. The record is from RNAcentral.
GUAUACGGGGUUGUGGGAUCUCUCUUUUACGGUCUGCCGGCCGUGAGACGAGUCAGAAACCGUUGAUGUAGGCGAAGGACAUGCGAAAGGUCCGGCGUAGAGGGUAAGACCCCCGUAGCUGAAACAUCAGCGGCUCGUUUGAGAGACACCCAAGUAGCACGGGGCCCGAGAAAUCCCGUGUGAAUCUGGCGGGACCACCCGCUAAGCCUAAAUAUUCCCUGGUGACCGAUAGCGGAUAGUACCGUGAGGGA